AACGAACGCUGGCGGCAUGCCUAACACAUGCAAGUCGAACGAGACCUUCGGGUCUAGUGGCGCACGGGUGCGUAACGCGUGGGAACCUGCCUUUAGGUUCGGAAUAACUCAGAGAAAUUUGAGCUAAUACCGGAUGAUGUCUUCGGACCAAAGAUUUAUCGCCUUUAGAUGGGCCCGCGUUGGAUUAGCUAGUUGGUGGGGUAAAGGCCUACCAAGGCGACGAUCCAUAGCUGGUCUGAGAGGAUGAUCAGCCACACUGGGACUGAGACACGGCCCAGACUCCUACGGGAGGCAGCAGUGGGGAAUAUUGGACAAUGGGCGAAAGCCUGAUCCAGCAAUGCUGCGUGAGUGAUGAAGGCCUUAGGGUUGUAAAGCUCUUUUAACCGAGAUGAUAAUGACAGUAUCGGGAGAAUAAGCGCCGGCUAACUCCGUG
RNAcentral lists this ribosomal RNA (433 nucleotides) under uncultured bacterium. Its description in RNAcentral is "partial 16S ribosomal RNA". It matches the Rfam family "Bacterial small subunit ribosomal RNA", at positions 29 to 507 of the family's 1533-position model. The record is from RNAcentral.